RNAcentral lists this non-coding RNA (45 nucleotides) under Schistosoma mansoni. The record is from RNAcentral. Lineage: Eukaryota; Metazoa; Platyhelminthes; Trematoda; Strigeidida; Schistosomatidae.
AUUCAGCUGACGAGUGUUGAAUAAAACGAAACGCGCGUCCUGAAU